This 456-nucleotide ribosomal RNA is filed under the name Gemella morbillorum. Its description in RNAcentral is "bacterial SSU rRNA". It matches the Rfam family "Bacterial small subunit ribosomal RNA", at positions 28 to 471 of the family's 1533-position model. Lineage: Bacteria; Bacillati; Bacillota; Bacilli; Caryophanales; Gemellaceae. The record is from RNAcentral.
GACGAACGCUGGCGGCGUGCCUAAUACAUGCAAGUCGAGCGAAGUUUUUCUGGUGCUUGCACUAGAAAAACUUAGCGGCGAACGGGUGAGUAACACGUAAAGAACCUGCCUCAUAGACUGGGACAACUAUUGGAAACGAUAGCUAAUACCGGAUAACAGCAUUAACUGCAUGGUUGAUGUUUGAAAGUUGGUUAUGCUAACACUAUGAGAUGGCUUUGCGGUGCAUUAGCUAGUUGGUGGGGUAAAGGCCCACCAAGGCGACGAUGCAUAGCCGACCUGAGAGGGUGAUCGGCCACACUGGGACUGAGACACGGCCCAGACUCCUACGGGAGGCAGCAGUAGGGAAUCUUCCGCAAUGGGCGAAAGCCUGACGGAGCAACGCCGCGUGAGUGAAGAAGGAUUUCGGUUCGUAAAGCUCUGUUGUUAGGGAAGAAUGGAUAUGUAGUAACUAUACAU